AAAGUCGUUUAUAAUUACUGCUCAUUUCAAAAUCCCAACCCGACAAAAUGCACAAAAUUGCAAAUAGAACUAUUGAAAAGGUUUUGCAUUAAUGUGUGGUGACUUUUUUUCUUCUUCAAAUAGCUAUUGUUGCAGUUGUGAAUAAGAAUAAAUCACUAGUUCACUAGUCUAUUGUCUUAGCUUCUCUAGGACGCUGUAUCAAUGUUCUUGUAUGUAUAGACAACAGUUUAAAGCAUUCCAAUCUGUGUUACUACUGAUCUAAUCAGUCGGGCUAAGAAGCUCCUCCACCCCUCUUUCACUACUCUGCAAUGUGAAGCAUGAGGAACUUCUGUGAAGUCCACACGUAGCCUAAUCCACUCCCAUUUAUUUGGCUUUCAGUCACAAUUGCUGAGGUAUCCAACCAAAGUGUGUACUGCAUUGUUAAUAUGUCGCACGUCAUGCAAAUGGUUAAAGGUCGAAGGGAAAAUAUUUAAUUUCCAAGCCGUAGAAGACCCAACCGCAAUGCUUUGGAAACGUGAUAAAGAGUUUGUUUUAGAACGUUAAGGAGCAAGCAUCAUCAAAUAAAACAGCACUUCCAACAUCGGACAACCAGGCAAGGCCUACCUUCCACGUGAGGAUCAAUCUGAAAGAUUUCCAAAUGAAUACAACCAUCUUCAAGACACAGCCUGGAUGGAGCCUGCAGCCACAAAGUCGGGUCCCAGACAACAAAACCACACUGAUAAAAAUUCAGCAAGACCACUGGCAGCACCAACUAUCCCCCUGAUAUCAACAAGCGAACCCAACAUAAAUCAAUCUGCUGCUCAACAUAAUAAAUAAAC
This is a long non-coding RNA of Engraulis encrasicolus (European anchovy), 818 nucleotides long. RefSeq lists it as uncharacterized. NCBI's taxonomy places the organism in Eukaryota, Metazoa, Chordata, Actinopteri, Clupeiformes, Engraulidae. The transcript is spliced from 3 exons. The record is from RefSeq and is a predicted model, not a curated record.